This 465-nucleotide ribosomal RNA is filed under the name uncultured bacterium. RNAcentral describes it as "partial 16S ribosomal RNA". It matches the Rfam family "Bacterial small subunit ribosomal RNA", at positions 28 to 507 of the family's 1533-position model. The record is from RNAcentral.
GACGAACGCUGGCGGCGUGCUUAACACAUGCAAGUCGAACGGAAAGGCCCUGCUUGCAGUGUACUGGAGUGGCGAGCGGGUGAGUAACACGUGGGUGGUCUGCCCUGCACUUCGGGAUAGGCCUGGUCGGCUGGGUCUAGUACCGGAUAGGAGACAUUUUUAGUCUGAUGGUUGGAUAGUUUUUUCGGUGUAGGCUGAGCUCGCGGGCUAUCAGCUUGUUGGUGGGGUAAUGGCCUACCAAGGCGGCGACGGGUAGCCGGCCUGAGAGGGUGGACGGCCACAGUGGGACUGAGAGACGGCCGCGGCUCCGACGGGAGGCAGAAGUGGGGAAUAUUGCACAAUGGGCGCAAGCCGGAUGCAGCGAGGCCGCGUGGGGUAGGACGGCCUUCGGGUUGUAAACUCAUUUCGCUAGGGACGAAGCUUUUUGUGACGGUACCUAGAUAAGAAGCACCGGCUAACUACGUG